UGCAAGUCGAGCGGUAGCACAGAGAGCUUGCUCUCGGGUGACGAGCGGCGGACGGGUGAGUAAUGUCUGGGAAACUGCCUGAUGGAGGGGGAUAACUACUGGAAACGGUAGCUAAUACCGCAUAACGUCGCAAGACCAAAGUGGGGGACCUUCGGGCCUCAUGCCAUCAGAUGUGCCCAGAUGGGAUUAGCUAGUAGGUGGGGUAACGGCUCACCUAGGCGACGAUCCCUAGCUGGUCUGAGAGGAUGACCAGCCACACUGGAACUGAGACACGGUCCAGACUCCUACGGGAGGCAGCAGUGGGGAAUAUUGCACAAUGGGCGCAAGCCUGAUGCAGCCAUGCCGCGUGUGUGAAGAAGGCCUUCGGGUUGUAAAGCACUUUCAGCGGGGAGGAAGGCGGUGAGGUUAAUAACCUUGGCGAUUGACGUUACCCGCAGAAGAAGCACCGGCUAACUCCGUGCCAGCAGCCGCGGUAAUACGGAGGGUGCAAGCGUUAAUCGGAAUUACUGGGCGUAAAGCGCACGCAGGCGGUCUGUCAAGUCGGAUGUGAAAUCCCCGGGCUCAACCUGGGAACUGCAUUCGAAACUGGCAGGCUAGAGUCUUGUAGAGGGGGGUAUAGAUUUCCAGGUGUAGCGGUGAAAUGCGUAGAGAUCUGGAGGAAUACCGGUGGCGAAGGCGGCCCCCUGGACAAAGACUGACGCUCAGGUGCGAAAGCGUGGGGAGCAAACAGGAUUAGAUACCCUGGUAGUCCACGCCGUAAACGAUGUCGAUUUGGAGGUUGUGCCCUUGAGGCGUGGCUUCCGGAGCUAACGCGUUAAAUCGACCGCCUGGGGAGUACGGCCGCAAGGUUAAAACUCAAAUGAAUUGACGGGGGCCCGCACAAGCGGUGGAGCAUGUGGUUUAAUUCGAUGCAACGCGAAGAACCUUACCUGGUCUUGACAUCCACAGAACUUUGCAGAGAUGGAUUGGUGCCUUCGGGAACUGUGAGACAGGUGCUGCAUGGCUGUCGUCAGCUCGUGUUGUGAAAUGUUGGGUUAAGUCCCGCAACGAGCGCAACCCUUAUCCUUUGUUGCCAGCGGUUAGGCCGGGAACUCAAAGGAGACUGCCAGUGAUAAACUGGAGGAAGGUGGGGAUGACGUCAAGUCAUCAUGGCCCUUACGACCAGGGCUACACACGUGCUACAAUGGCAUAUACAAAGAGAAGCGACCUCGCGAGAGCAAGCGGACCUCAUAAAGUAUGUCGUAGUCCGGAUUGGAGUCUGCAACUCGACUCCAUGAAGUCGGAAUCGCUAGUAAUCGUAGAUCAGAAUGCUACGGUGAAUACGUUCCCGGGCCUUGUACACACCGCCCGUCACACCAUGGGAGUGGGUUGCAAAAGAAGUAGGUAGCUUAACCUUCGGGAGGGCGCUUACC
Molecule: ribosomal RNA, 1412 nt
Filed under: Klebsiella pneumoniae
Lineage: Bacteria; Pseudomonadati; Pseudomonadota; Gammaproteobacteria; Enterobacterales; Enterobacteriaceae
Description: bacterial SSU rRNA
Rfam family: Bacterial small subunit ribosomal RNA
Source: RNAcentral